GAUGAACGCUGGCGGCGUGCUUAACACAUGCAAGUCGAACGGAAAGGCUCCUGCUUGCAGGGGUACUCGAGUGGCGAACGGGUGAGUAACACGUGGGUGAUCUGCCCUGCACUUCGGGAUAAGCCUGGGAAACUGGGUCUAAUACCGGAUAGGACCAUCGUUUAGUGUCGGUGGUGGAAAGUUUUUUCGGUGUGGGAUGAGCUCGCGGCCUAUCAGCUUGUUGGUGGGGUAAUGGCCUACCAAGGCGUCGACGGGUAGCCGGCCUGAGAGGGUGUACGGCCACAUUGGGGCUGAGAUACGGCCCAGACUCCUACGGGAGGCAGCAGUGGGGAAUAUUGCACAAUGGGCGCAAGCCUGAUGCAGCGACGCCGCGUGGGGGAUGACGGCCUUCGGGUUGUAAACUCCUUUCGCCAGGGACGAAGCGAAAGUGACGGUACCUGGAUAAGAAGCACCGGCUAACUACGUG
This 466-nucleotide ribosomal RNA is filed under the name uncultured bacterium. RNAcentral's name for it is "partial 16S ribosomal RNA". It matches the Rfam family "Bacterial small subunit ribosomal RNA", at positions 28 to 507 of the family's 1533-position model. The record is from RNAcentral.